RNAcentral lists this ribosomal RNA (457 nucleotides) under uncultured bacterium. RNAcentral's name for it is "partial 16S ribosomal RNA". It matches the Rfam family "Bacterial small subunit ribosomal RNA", at positions 338 to 795 of the family's 1533-position model. The record is from RNAcentral.
CCUACGGGUGGCAGCAGUGGGGAAUAUUGCACAAUGGGGGAAACCCUGAUGCAGCGACGCCGCGUGAGUGAAGAAGUAUUUCGGUACGUAAAGCUCUAUCAGCAGGGAAGAAAAAAAGUCCUUUAGACUUUGUACGGUACUUGACCAAGAAUCCCCGGCUAACUACGUGCCAGCAGCCGCGGUAAUACGGAGGGGGCAAGCGUUAUCCGGAUUUACUGGGUUUAAAGGGAGCGUAGGCGGCAGCGCAAGUCUGGAGUGAAAUGCCGGGGCCCAACCCCGGAACUGCUUUGGAUACUGUUCAGCUGGAGUGCAGUGGAGGUAAGCGGAAGUGCUAGUGUAGCGGUGAAAUGCGUAGAUAUUAGGAGGAACACCAGUGGCGAAGGCGGCUUACUGGACUGUAACUGACGUUGAGGCUCGAAAGCGUGGGGAGCGAACAGGAUUAGAUACCCCAGUAGUC